AAUGCCAGUUUUGGGUGUUGGCG
This 23-nucleotide transfer RNA is filed under the name Cercopithecus nictitans martini. RNAcentral describes it as "partial tRNA-Pro". The record is from RNAcentral. Lineage: Eukaryota; Metazoa; Chordata; Mammalia; Primates; Cercopithecidae.